UACGAAGGGGGCGAGCGUUGUUCGGAUUUACUGGGCGUAAAGGGCGCGCAGGCGGCUAUUUUUGUCAGGCGUGAAAGCCCCGGGCUUAACCUGGGAACAGCGCUUGAGACGGGAUGGCUAGAGAUCGGGAGAGGAGAGUGGAAUUCCCAGUGUAGAGGUGAAAUGCGUAGAUAUCGUAAGGAAGACCAGUGGCGAAGGCGGGUCUCUGGGCCGAUAUCGACGCUGAGGAGCGAAAGCGUGGGGAGCGAACAGG
This 253-nucleotide ribosomal RNA is filed under the name uncultured bacterium. Its description in RNAcentral is "partial 16S ribosomal RNA". It matches the Rfam family "Bacterial small subunit ribosomal RNA", at positions 524 to 776 of the family's 1533-position model. The record is from RNAcentral.